This 90-nucleotide non-coding RNA is filed under the name unclassified sequences. Its description in RNAcentral is "c-di-GMP sequence". It matches the Rfam family "c-di-GMP-II-GAG riboswitch aptamer". The record is from Rfam by way of RNAcentral.
CGAUUCGGAGGAGGCGAAGAUCCGCGGCGCGCCCUGACUCGGCCGCCUGAGCGUCGCGCGGAGCCAGUGGCGAGACCGACCCCCCGCGUG